GCGCAGGGGCGGGGGGCUAACCAUGCAACGUCGAACGAUGAUCCCAGCUUGCUGGGGGAUUAGUGGCGAACGGGUGAGUAACACGUGAGUAACCUGCCCUUAACUCUGGGAUAAGCCUGGGAAACUGGGUCUAAUACCGGAUAUGACUCCUCAUCGCAUGGUGGGGGGUGGAAAGCUUUAUUGUGGUUUUGGAUGGACUCGCGGCCUAUCAGCUUGUUGGUGAGGUAAUGGCUCACCAAGGCGACGACGGGUAGCCGGCCUGAGAGGGUGACCGGCCACACUGGGACUGAGACACGGCCCAGACUCCUACGGGAGGCAGCAGUGGGGAAUAUUGCACAAUGGGCGAAAGCCUGAUGCAGCGACGCCGCGUGAGGGAUGACGGCCUUCGGGUUGUAAACCUCUUUCAGUAGGGAAGAAGCGAAAGUGACGGUACCUGCAGAAGAAGCGCCGGCUAACUACGUGCCAGCAGCCGCGGUAAUACGUAGGGCGCAAGCGUUAUCCGGAAUUAUUGGGCGUAAAGAGCUCGUAGGCGGUUUGUCGCGUCUGCCGUGAAAGUCCGGGGCUCAACUCCGGAUCUGCGGUGGGUACGGGCAGACUAGAGUGAUGUAGGGGAGACUGGAAUUCCUGGUGUAGCGGUGAAAUGCGCAGAUAUCAGGAGGAACACCGAUGGCGAAGGCAGGUCUCUGGGCAUUAACUGACGCUGAGGAGCGAAAGCAUGGGGAGCGAACAGGAUUAGAUACCCUGGUAGUCCAUGCCGUAAACGUUGGGCACUAGGUGUGGGGGACAUUCCACGUUUUCCGUACCGUAGCUAACGCAUUAAGUGCCCCGCCUGGGGAGUACGGCCGCAAGGCUAAAACUCAAAGGAAUUGACGGGGGCCCGCACAAGCGGCGGAGCAUGCGGAUUAAUUCGAUGCAACGCGAAGAACCUUACCAAGGCUUGACAUGAACCGGAAACACCUGGAAACAGGUGCCCCGCUUGCGGUCGGUUUACAGGUGGUGCAUGGUUGUCGUCAGCUCGUGUCGUGAGAUGUUGGGUUAAGUCCCGCAACGAGCGCAACCCUCGUUCUAUGUUGCCAGCGCGUUAUGGCGGGGACUCAUAGGAGACUGCCGGGGUCAACUCGGAGGAAGGUGGGGACGACGUCAAAUCAUCAUGCCCCUUAUUGCUUGGGGUUCACGCAUGCUACAAUGGCCAGGUACAAAGGGUUGCGGAACUUGUGGUGUGGAAUUAUAUCCCAAAAAGCAGGUCUCAUUUCGGAUUGGGGCCUGCAAAUCCGACCCAUGAUUUCCGAGCCCCAAUAAUACGAAAUACAUAACCUUUCGGUGAAUACUUCCCUGGGCCUGGAACACCCCCCGUCUAUGCCCAAAAUUUGGUAUUCUCAAACCCGGGGCCUGACCUUCGGAGAGGUGUGCAAUGGCGGUCGAGGGGGACCCGGCUUAAGGGCAACCCCUGCGAUACAGAAAAAAAGCAGUGAAAUUAAAAAGCAAUUAGAAAAUUUAAGAAGGGGGGGGGGGGGGGGGGGGGGGGGGGGGGGGGGGGGGGGGGGGGGGGGGCCGGGAGGGGGGAUGGGGGGGGGGGGGGGGGGGGGGGGGGGGGGGGGGGGGGGGGGGGGGGGGGGGGGGGGGGGGGGGGGGGGGGGGGGGG
Molecule: ribosomal RNA, 1642 nt
Filed under: Arthrobacter sp. G20
Lineage: Bacteria; Bacillati; Actinomycetota; Actinomycetes; Micrococcales; Micrococcaceae
Description: partial 16S ribosomal RNA
Rfam family: Bacterial small subunit ribosomal RNA (bases 1-1382)
Source: RNAcentral